RNAcentral lists this long non-coding RNA (1152 nucleotides) under Camarhynchus parvulus. RNAcentral describes it as "lncRNA (ENSCPVG00000008461.2)". The record is from RNAcentral. Lineage: Eukaryota; Metazoa; Chordata; Aves; Passeriformes; Thraupidae.
CCAUCACAGCCUUGAUGAUGGAAGAACAUACAGCUGCAAUGGCCACACUGCCAGCACAGGAGCAAUUAAUUGUCAGGUUAAUUUGAGACAGGAGAUGGUAGUAGCUUUUCAAGUCUGCUCAGGGGUGUCUCCCAAGGCCAGGAGCCACUCACUGGGCACCGCAGGGGAACCAGUCUGACAGGUCCCUGGAGUCCGUGGACAGGGAAAAAGAGCAAACCUGCAGAUGAAUAGUGUUUUGAGACAGCAGUAUCAUAGGAAAACUAUAUGCUAUACGAUAUAACCCAGCACCAGAAAUGGGUCAGGGAUUAGGGCGGCACGUCUGCCGUCUUGGCAGAAAUCAAACUGCAGCCUGCGCUGGGACUUGAGCUGGGUUAGGUACCACUGCCUGUGUCGGGAGCAGACCCAGAGUACAAAUAACAUAAUGCGAAAAGGUUUUUAAGAAACUGAAAAGCGAGUUUAAUUCUGGGAAUCCCGAUGAGGGUCUGAGCUUUGAAGCGCAGGAGAAAAUGGGACCUGCGCCGGCAGCCACCUGAACAACCCGGAGGCUCGGUGCGGGAGCGUCCCCGCCGCCCCCCGCAGCGAGCGGGCGGUGCCGGGGCCCGCGGGGCUCCAGCCGGGGCGCUGCGGCUCCUGCGGCAAAGCCCCCGGCCCUGCCUCACGCAGGGGAGCGGCGCCACCGCCCCGCUUACCACCGGCACGGCUCCCCGGCCCCGCCCGGAGGUGAGGGAGGGAGGGAGGACCCGGCGCUCCCCGCCCGGCGCCACACGGGGGGAGUUUCCCCUCAGCGCGGGCAGGUGGGGCCGCUCCGCCGCCCGCCCCGCCUCAGCCCCGCGGGGCAGCGCGGGCAGCCCGCGGCGCUCCCGGCUCGGUCGCUGCCCCUCGCCGGCAGCUGCCGCCAGCAGCAACAGGUCCGUGCCCGCUCCUCCCUCCGCCUGCCAGGCGAACAAAGGGGCCGAGCGCGGCCCCGCGCCCGCCCGGCCCCUCCGCCAGCCCGGCCCCCGCGCUUCAGCCAUUUGCCUCGCCUGGCACCGCGGCGCCGCUCGCAGCCGCCUCCCGCUCCGCUGCCUGGGCCGGGCGCCGGGGCCGCUGCGCUGCGGGAGCUGCCCCGGAGCGGCGCGGGGCUCGUCGGCCGAAAGGAUCAGGACCAAUUGA